AUUGUGACAACCAAAAGUGUCUCCAGACAUCACCAAAUGUCUCCUGGGAAGCAAAAUCACUGCAAUUGAGAACUACUGACAUGCAGAAAAACUAAGUAGAGUAAAGAAGGUGGUGUGAGGGGUUAGAGAAAUGGAAAGUGUAACUGAAAGUAUAGUGAAGUUACUAGUAAUGCCAAUUAUGUUAUAUGGUUUUGUGUUGUUUGGAGCGUUAAUGUCAUUAUUGCAAUUUCUCUUUAUUUCCUUUAAUGAAC
Molecule: long non-coding RNA, 251 nt
Filed under: Homo sapiens (human)
Lineage: Eukaryota; Metazoa; Chordata; Mammalia; Primates; Hominidae
Description: HSALNT0108163
Source: RNAcentral